UGCUUCGGCGAAAGGGACGCUCUCUUUCYCAAGGACCAUGACGGGGAAAAGACCCAUACCAAACACCACCCCUCCCGCCCGCAGCGCCCGCUCACCCGCGCGAGUGAACAUCUCCAACUUGGCUGGGUUCCCGGCCCUUUCCUGGCCCUACGCUCGGCGCAACACAACCGCAGACAUGAGACGGCCCCCGCCGGGACGGCAAUCCCAGUGCGAGGGCCUGACCACCGAGGAAGUAGAGGCCUUCCCG
RNAcentral lists this non-coding RNA (247 nucleotides) under Streptomyces swartbergensis. RNAcentral's name for it is "Streptomyces sRNA 4677". It matches the Rfam family "Streptomyces sRNA 4677". Rfam says of the family: Located in the intergenic region between anti-sigma factor SCO4677 gene and a putative regulatory protein gene SCO4676. scr4677 expression requires the SCO4677 activity and scr4677 sRNA itself seem to affect the levels of the SCO4676-associated transcripts. Lineage: Bacteria; Bacillati; Actinomycetota; Actinomycetes; Kitasatosporales; Streptomycetaceae. The record is from Rfam by way of RNAcentral.